UGGGGAAUAUUGCACAAUGGAGGGAACUCUGAUGCAGCGACGCCGCGUGAGUGAUGAAGGAAUUCGUUUCGUAAAACUCUGUUCUAUGGGAAGAAAAGGACUGUACCAUAGGAGAAAGCUCCGGCUAAAUACGUGCCAGCAGCCGCGGUAAUACGUAUGGAGCGAGCGUUGUCCGGAAUUAUUGGGCGUAAAGGGUGCGCAGGCGGCUUUACAAGUUGGAUGUGAAAUAUUGUGGCUCAACCACAAACGUGCAUCCAAAACUGCAAAGCUUGAGUUAAGGGGAGGUAAGUGGAAUUCCUGGUGUAGCGGUGGAAUGCGUAGAUAUCAGGGGGAAUACCGGUGGCGAAGGCGACUUACGGGGCUUAAACAGACGCUCAGGCACGAAAGCGUGGGGAGCAAACAGG
RNAcentral lists this ribosomal RNA (404 nucleotides) under Fusobacteriota bacterium. Its description in RNAcentral is "Fusobacteria bacterium partial 16S ribosomal RNA". It matches the Rfam family "Bacterial small subunit ribosomal RNA", at positions 355 to 776 of the family's 1533-position model. The record is from RNAcentral. Lineage: Bacteria; Fusobacteriati; Fusobacteriota.